GACGUAGGGCGCGAGCGUUGUUCGGAAUUACUGGGCGUAAAGCGCACGUAGGCGGAUUGUUUAGUCAGGGGUGAAAUCCCGGGGCUCAACCCCGGAACUGCCCCUGAUACUGGCAAUCUCGAGUUCGGAAGAGGUGAGUGGAAUUCCGAGUGUAGAGGUGAAAUUCGUAGAUAUUCGGAGGAACACCAGUGGCGAAGGCGGCUCACUGGCCCGAAACUGACGCUGAGGUGCGAAAGCGUGGGGAGCAAACAGG
This 253-nucleotide unclassified non-coding RNA is filed under the name uncultured Alphaproteobacteria bacterium. RNAcentral's name for it is "contains 16S-23S intergenic spacer region". It matches the Rfam family "Bacterial small subunit ribosomal RNA", at positions 524 to 776 of the family's 1533-position model. Lineage: Bacteria; Pseudomonadati; Pseudomonadota; Alphaproteobacteria. The record is from RNAcentral.